ACGAACGCUGGCGGCGUGCCUCAAACAUGCAAGUCGAGCGGGGUUCUGGAAGUGGGCGACCACGGAAGGGACCUAGCGGCGGACGGGUGAGUAACGCGUGGGUAAUCUGCCCAAGGGACCGGGAUAACACCUCGAAAGGGGUGCUAAUACCGGGUGACCCUGGUGCUCCGAGUGGGGGACCAGGGAUAGGUGGCCUCUUGACAAUGCUACUGCCCUUGGAUGAGCCCGCGUCCCAUUAGCUAGUUGGCGGGGUAAAGGCCCACCAAGGCGACGAUGGGUAGCCG
RNAcentral lists this ribosomal RNA (284 nucleotides) under uncultured bacterium. RNAcentral's name for it is "partial 16S ribosomal RNA". It matches the Rfam family "Bacterial small subunit ribosomal RNA", at positions 29 to 289 of the family's 1533-position model. The record is from RNAcentral.